GCCGUGUCAGCAUAAUUAUUGGCGCUUGAGCAUUUAUCAUUAAAGUCCUAAGGUAAUAAAUUUCAGGGUAGUAUUUUGUCAAAAAUUAAAUCAUAGGCCUUUAAGUGUUAAAACACAAAGCUUUAAGGUUUUUUUCUAUGCUUUCCCCCAUUAUCUAAACUAAGGUCCAAAAGGCCUAAAAAAAAGAUACAAUAGUGUACCGGCCAACUAAAGCAUAAUUUGUUGUACACCUCUAAAUGAAGCAAAAAAAUUUAUUCUAACUUUGCCCUGCCCUGCGCCAUCCAAAAGAUAAAUAAAUGAAUAAAGGUGAAAACUAAUGCUCUCCUAUUUCCUUGGCUUGCAUUUGCUGGUAAAGUUGCAUCUAUUUUAGAGGGUUACACUAAAACGGGCAAAAUUGACUAGCAGACUGCAACGUUGUAUUCACACGAAUUCAUAAUGAUAGGCCACCUGCCCAAGUCAUGCAAUUUAGAAAACUAUCCAACAAAGAAGCAAAACCAUAUCAAUAGUUUGCCAACAUUUUCCAUCUAUGUUCCCAAUUAGAAAGGUAUAUUUGGAAUAUGUAACUUAGUAAGGAUGAG
Molecule: unclassified non-coding RNA, 578 nt
Filed under: Hevea brasiliensis (rubber tree)
Lineage: Eukaryota; Viridiplantae; Streptophyta; Magnoliopsida; Malpighiales; Euphorbiaceae
Source: RNAcentral